CUCAGUGGAUCCCUCGGCUCGUGGGUCGAUGAAGAACGGAGCAAGCUCCGUGUUGUCGUGUGAACUGCAGGACACAUGAACAUCGACACUUUGAACGCAAAUGGCGGCCCUCGGUCUUUGCACCUUGGGCCACUCCCGGCUGAGGGUCGGUUUAAAGAAACGAUUACCAGACUGCC
RNAcentral lists this ribosomal RNA (176 nucleotides) under Thrips tabaci. RNAcentral describes it as "5.8S ribosomal RNA". The stretch from base 3 to 149 matches the Rfam family "5.8S ribosomal RNA". Rfam says of the family: 5.8S ribosomal RNA (5.8S rRNA) is a component of the large subunit of the eukaryotic ribosome. Lineage: Eukaryota; Metazoa; Arthropoda; Insecta; Thysanoptera; Thripidae. The record is from RNAcentral.